This 657-nucleotide ribosomal RNA is filed under the name uncultured eukaryote. RNAcentral's name for it is "bacterial SSU rRNA". It matches the Rfam family "Bacterial small subunit ribosomal RNA", at positions 951 to 1500 of the family's 1533-position model. The record is from RNAcentral.
UCGAUACAACGCGCAAAACCUUGCCAGCCCUUGACAUAUGAACAAAAAAACCUGUCCUUAACGGGAUGGUACUUACUUUCAUACAGGCGCUGCAUGGCUGUCGUCAGCUCGUGUCGUGAGAUGUUUGGUCAAGUCCUAUAACGAGCGAAACCCUCGUUUUGUGUUGCUGAGACAUGCGCCUCCGGAGAAAUUGCCUUAGAUAGUGGUCAUAGUACGCCGGCCUCCGAAAGAAAAAGGUGCGUGCCGCACUCACGAGGGACUGCCAGUGAGAUACUGGAGGAAGGUGGGGAUGACGUCAAGUCCGCAUGGCCCUUAUGGGCUGGGCCACACACGUGCUACAAUGGCAAUGACAAUGGGAAGCAAGGCUGUAAGGCGGAGCGAAUCCGGAAAGAUUGCCUCAGUUCGGAUUGUUCUCUGCAACUCGGGAACAUGAAGUUGGAAUCGCUAGUAAUCGCGGAUCAGCAUGCCGCGGUGAAUAUGUACCCGGGCCCUGUACACACCGCCCGUCACACCCUGGGAAUUGGUUUCGCCCGAAGCAUCGGAACAAUGAUCACCCAUGACUUCUGUGUCACACUAGUCACACAAUGCACUUUGGUGGUCUUAUUGGUCCAUACCACGGUGGGGUCUUCGACUGGGGUGAAGUCGUAACAAGGUAAC